UGGACUACUAGGGUUUCUAAUCCUGUUCGCUCCCCACGCUUUCGCUCCUCAGCGUCAGUUGUGGCCCAGAGACCUGCCUUCGCCAUCGGUGUUCCUCCUGAUAUCUGCGCAUUCCACCGCUACACCAGGAAUUCCAGUCUCCCCUACCACACUCUAGUCUGCCCGUACCCACUGCAGGCCCGAGGUUGAGCCUCGGGUUUUCACAGCAGACGCGACAAACCGCCUACGAGCUCUUUACGCCCAAUAAAUCCGGACAACGCUUGCACCCUACGUAUUACCGCGGCUGCUGGCACU
This 294-nucleotide unclassified non-coding RNA is filed under the name uncultured Micrococcales bacterium. RNAcentral describes it as "contains 16S-23S intergenic spacer region". Lineage: Bacteria; Bacillati; Actinomycetota; Actinomycetes; Micrococcales. The record is from RNAcentral.